CAGCCGCCGCGGGAAUACGUAGGUGGCAAGCGUUGUCCGGAAUUAUUGGGCGUAAAGCGCGCGCAGGUGGUUUAAUAAGUCUGAUGUGAAAGCCCACGGCUCAACCGUGGAGGGUCAUUGGAAACUGUUAAACUUGAGUGCAGGAGAGAAAAGUGGAAUUCCUAGUGUAGCGGUGAAAUGCGUAGAUCUCGAGAGGAACACCAAUGGCGAAGGCAGCUUCUUGGUCCAUUCCUGACGUUCAUACACGAAAGCGUGGGGAGCAAACAGGAUUAGAUACCCCAGUAGUCCCUGUCUCUUAUAC
Molecule: ribosomal RNA, 301 nt
Filed under: uncultured bacterium
Lineage: Bacteria
Description: partial 16S ribosomal RNA
Rfam family: Bacterial small subunit ribosomal RNA
Source: RNAcentral